AAAUUGAAGAGUUUGAUCAUGGCUCAGAUUGAACGCUGGCGGCAGGCCUAACACAUGCAAGUCGAACGGUAACAGGAAGCAGCUUGCUGCUUCGCUGACGAGUGGCGGACGGGUGAGUAAUGUCUGGGAAACUGCCUGAUGGAGGGGGAUAACUACUGGAAACGGUGGCUAAUACCGCAUAACGUCGCAAGACCAAAGAGGGGGACCUUCGGGCCUCUUGCCAUCAGAUGUGCCCAGAUGGGAUUAGCUUGUUGGUGAGGUAACGGCUCACCAAGGCGACGAUCCCUAGCUGGUCUGAGAGGAUGACCAGCCACACUGGAACUGAGACACGGUCCAGACUCCUACGGGAGGCAGCAGUGGGGAAUAUUGCACAAUGGGCGCAAGCCUGAUGCAGCCAUGCCGCGUGUAUGAAGAAGGCCUUCGGGUUGUAAAGUACUUUCAGCGGGGAGGAAGGUGUUGCGGUUAAUAACCGCAGCAAUUGACGUUACCCGCAGAAGAAGCACCGGCUAACUCCGUGCCAGCAGCCGCGGUAAUACGGAGGGUGCAAGCGUUAAUCGGAAUUACUGGGCGUAAAGCGCACGCAGGCGGUCUGUCAAGUCGGAUGUGAAAUCCCCGGGCUCAACCUGG
Molecule: ribosomal RNA, 627 nt
Filed under: Salmonella enterica subsp. enterica serovar Infantis
Lineage: Bacteria; Pseudomonadati; Pseudomonadota; Gammaproteobacteria; Enterobacterales; Enterobacteriaceae
Also listed under: 1 other name
Description: bacterial SSU rRNA
Rfam family: Bacterial small subunit ribosomal RNA
Source: RNAcentral